CCUAUGGGGCGCAGCAGGCGCGAAACCUCCACAAUGCGCGAAAGCGUGAUGGGGGGAUCCCGAGUGCUUACAUUAUAUGUAAGCUUUUGCCAAGAGUUCACAUCUUGGAGAAUAAGUGGUGGGUAAGACCGGUGCCAGCAGCCGCGGUAACCCCGGCGCCACGAGUGGCAAUCUUUUAUUGGGCCUAAAGCAUUCGUAGCAGGUUUGAAAAAUCCUUUGUGAAAUUGUUGAACUCAAUACAACAGCGUGCAGAGGACACUUUCAGACUAGAGACUGGGAGGAGUUGGGGGUAUGCCUGGGGGAGCGGUUAAAUGCGAUAAUCCUAGGUAGACCACCUGUGGCGAAGGCGCCCAACUAGAACAGUUCUGACUGUGAGGGAUGAAAGCUAGGGUAGCGAACCGGAUUAGAUACCCUCGUAGUCC
Molecule: ribosomal RNA, 422 nt
Filed under: uncultured euryarchaeote
Lineage: Archaea; Methanobacteriati; Methanobacteriota
Description: bacterial SSU rRNA
Rfam family: Archaeal small subunit ribosomal RNA
Source: RNAcentral